This 468-nucleotide ribosomal RNA is filed under the name uncultured bacterium. Its description in RNAcentral is "partial 16S ribosomal RNA". It matches the Rfam family "Bacterial small subunit ribosomal RNA", at positions 28 to 507 of the family's 1533-position model. The record is from RNAcentral.
GAUGAACGCUGGCGGCGUGCUUAACACAUGCAAGUCGAACGGACAGGCCCUGCUCUUGUUGGGUGCUCGAGUGGCGAACGGGUGAGUAACACGUGAGUAACCUGCCCUUGACUUUGGGAUAACUUUAGGAAACUGGGGCUAAUACCGGAUAUGAGCUCCUGCUGCAUGUUGUGGGUUGGAAAGUUUCGGCGUUUGGGGAUGGCCUCGCGGCUUAUCCGCUUGUUGGUGGGGUAGUAGCUUUCCAAGGCUUUGACGGGUACGCGGCAUGAGAGGUGGUCAAGGCACUAUGGAACUGAGAUACGAUGCAUACACCUACCGGAGGAAGCAGGGGAGAAAGUUUCAGAGUGAACGGAAGCCGGAGGCAGCAACGCUGAGUGCGCGAAGAGGGUCUGCUAUUUAUAAACCGAUUUAUGCUGUGCGAAAGGGUGAUGGAGGGGAUUGGGUAAAGAAGCACCGGCUAACUACGUG